GGAAAUGCUCACUUUCAACCAUGAGAGGAAUAACAAGGAGAGGUCAACAGAUGAGACACCUGGCUCUGCCUUUCAACUUCCUGGGUGACCAAAAGCAUGUCACUCAGCAUCCCUGGGCUCUCUUACCCAUCUGUGCGUAAUUGCUUCUCUCCACUGCAGCUGUGACUCUGUGAACAACUCUGAAGUCAGCACCUAGUCUUACGGUGUUGCAAGCAUACAAUGGCACAAAGUUUUGGAUGAGCUUGUUAAAUGCUGAAUACAUGAAGGAGAUUAUUAUUCUAAGUGGCACACGAAGAAUUUAUUCAACAAAGCUGUAUUGAUGAUUUACUCUCUGCAUCAGCUCCUGGGACUGCAAGUAUAAAAGUGAUUCAGACCUUGCCCUUGGGAAGCCGGGGAGAGACUCAAAUAGCUAACAGCAGGGUAAAUAGUGUUCCUGGAGUUGUGCAGUGGGCAAGUUCUGAGCCCACCUUUGCUGGGGAGGCUCUGCAGCGCCAGGCACAGCGAUGGACCCAGGAUGUGAGGUGAG
This 526-nucleotide long non-coding RNA is filed under the name Homo sapiens (human). RNAcentral's name for it is "HSALNT0302291". Lineage: Eukaryota; Metazoa; Chordata; Mammalia; Primates; Hominidae. The record is from RNAcentral.